RNAcentral lists this ribosomal RNA (277 nucleotides) under uncultured bacterium. Its description in RNAcentral is "partial 16S ribosomal RNA". It matches the Rfam family "Bacterial small subunit ribosomal RNA", at positions 28 to 298 of the family's 1533-position model. The record is from RNAcentral.
GACGAACGCUGGCGGCGUGCUUAACACAUGCAAGUGGAGCGACGAAGCGGGCUUCGGCCCGUGGCAAAGCCGCGAACGGGUGAGUAACACGUGGGUAACCUGCCCCGAUGACCGGGACAACCCGAGGAAACUCGGGCUAAUACCGGAUGUGGUCGCACCACAUAAGUGGUUCGACUAAAGGUAGCUUCGGCCUCCGCAUCGGGAUGGGCCCGCGGCGCAUUAGCUUGUUGGUGGGGUAAUGGCCUACCAAGGCGACGAUGCGUAGCUGGUCUGAGAG